Molecule: long non-coding RNA, 1349 nt
Organism: Chroicocephalus ridibundus (black-headed gull)
Lineage: Eukaryota; Metazoa; Chordata; Aves; Charadriiformes; Laridae
Exons: 3
Source: RefSeq, a predicted model, not a curated record
GGCAGAGCCGUUUGCUCCCGGCCGGGGUCGUGCGGGGCACGAUGGCAGCUGGGGGCGGCGGGGCCGGUGUCCGCCCCCGGGGCCGUCCCGGCCACGCGACGAGGCUCGGGCACCCCCCCCCCCGGGACGUGUCCCCGCUCCCCCCGGGGCCGGAGGAGGGUUUCCCGGUUCAGGGGCUGCUCAGCCCUUUCUGCGAGCGAGCCGUGGCCCGACUCCACGCAGGGUUGUGCAAACCCAGCCCUAACGGUCCCAGGCAUUUUCUUUCUUAAUUUGCGCUAUUAAUAGCCACGGAGAAGUGAGAAAUGCCUGUGACAAAGGCUGUGGCCGCAGAUUCCUGUUUCCAGGCCAGGAGUGAGUAGUUCAGAGUAACCCAUCCCUGACGUAACCCCCCAUCCCUGGGAAGACACCCCCGGACACCGGGAGUUUCCCAUCUGGCAGCGAGGGCUAUAAGAGCGGGGCCAGGGCACGGGGAAGGGCAGAAGCCCUAGAGCUUUGCCUGCAGCCCCAUGCACCCGCCGAGGCCAUGCUGCCAGCCACAAGGGUCAUCUUUUCCUCUCCUCAGGUUGUCCACCCACACAAGCCAGGGCUGACCCCACCUUCAUUUCUUACCAGCAACCCCCCAAUGACGAAAGCAGACAUGAAGACUGGGCUUGUUGUCCGCUCGGUCUGCUUCCAUGGGCAGAGCCCACAGUCCAGCUGGGAGAUCCGGGAUCAAGAUCUCACCGACGCUUGACCUCCCUCCUCAUUGCACCGUUUCCCCCAGCCACCGGAGGAAGCCCCAGCGCGGAGGCGGGGGCCCAGCCACCAGCCCUGCUUAGGAAGGAAGGAGACAGGCGGGAGGUCGGUGAGAGUUAUCUGCAUCCCAGCUGGGGUGGGAGACUGCUGCCGGGAAGGAAGAGGAGCUCUGCUCUUCCACUUCUUGGCGUGGUGUUUCAUGGUUGGGAGAUACCAACUCCCGUAAAACGCUGUCCUGGAUAUGCUCUGCUUCACACUGCGCUGGGACAGGAACUUUGGUAUUUCUGCUAAAUCUCUACUGUCUUGUCCAAAACAAUAAAAUAAACGAUGCCAAGUCUACCUUGGAGAAGUUUCUUUGGGGGUAAGAAGGCCUGGGGAGGUGUGGGAACAGAGCAAGCUUUUCCAGCCGGCUUUCGGGAGCCCCUUCCCAUGCAAAGACUCAUUUUCUAAAGCCCCUGCCCCUCAUUUCAAGUUCAUCAACUGGGUUAUGUGACCUGGGAGUCCCAGCAACAACCAAGCAGAGGAGGCAUUCACCUACCUUUGGAAGCCAGGCCAGGCUGUUAUGACUUAAAAUAUCAGUAAAAUAUCUACCAGCAUCUGUUCAGGCCCGCAAA